AGAUAGGAUUGAUCACAAGGCAAGAGGAAGUGAUAACUAUUUGAAGAAAAGGAAGCCUGUUAAAAUGCUGAUUGAAUACCCUGUAUGGAAGAGAACAUGGAAUAGAAGCAAACAGAUUGACUAGAAUGGGCCUGUUCUUCCUGAGAUGGCACUACCAAUAAGUUUAGCAAGUGCACUGAGUGCCAAGUAAACAUCACAUACAACAACAUUGUUUUUAUCAUCAAAAUGCAUCAAAUACCAAAUUCAACAAGUUCUGAAACCAGAGCCCAAUGAUUAAUGAAGGAUGUCACAUGUAUCAUCAGGAAACAAAGGAG
This 314-nucleotide long non-coding RNA is filed under the name Monodelphis domestica (gray short-tailed opossum). RNAcentral's name for it is "lncRNA (ENSMODG00000050044.1)". The record is from RNAcentral. Lineage: Eukaryota; Metazoa; Chordata; Mammalia; Didelphimorphia; Didelphidae.